GUGCACCAGUCGCGAAUAGUCUACAAUGGACGAAAGUCUGAUAGUGCGACGCCGUGUGUGCGAUUAAUUCCUUCGGGAUGUAAAGCACUUUUCUAUGAGAUAAAAGCUCUUUAGGUUAAUAGCUUAUUGAGACGGAUAUUAUUAUAGGAAUAAGCUCCGGCUAACUCCGUGCCAGCAGCCGCGGUAAUACGGAAGGAGCGAGCGUUGUCCGGAUUUACUAGGCGUAAAGGGCUAGUAGGCGACUAAUUAAGUUAUAUGUUAAAUCCCACGGCUCAACUGUGGUCCUGCAUGUAAUACUGGUUAGAUAGAGUACUGUAGAGGAAGGCAGAAUUCCUGGAGUAGCGGUGGAAUGCGCAGAUAUCAGAGAAUACCAAAAGCGAAGGCAGCCUUCUGGGCAGUUACUGACGCUGAAUAGCGAAGGUGUGGGUAGCGAACAGGAUUAGAUACCCCUGUAGU
Molecule: ribosomal RNA, 456 nt
Filed under: uncultured microorganism
Description: bacterial SSU rRNA
Rfam family: Bacterial small subunit ribosomal RNA
Source: RNAcentral